CUCAAGGGGGUUUUUGGUUGGGGCAACCGCGAAGAAAAAAUAACCUUCGUACAACAAAAGACAAACAAAUCUAAAACUACCUUAUAGAAAUGAUCCAGAAACUGAUCAAGGAAAAAAGUUACCGCAGGGAUAACAGCGUUAUUCUUUCUGAGAGCUCUUAUUGACGAAAGAGUUUGCGACCUCGAUGUUGGACCGGGGCACCCAAGAGGUGCAGCAGCCUCUAAUGGUAGGUCUGUUCGACCUUUAAAGCCCUACGUGAUCUGAGUUCAGACCGACGCAAGUCAGGUCAGUUUCUAUCUA
Molecule: ribosomal RNA, 300 nt
Filed under: Hypalocrinus naresianus
Lineage: Eukaryota; Metazoa; Echinodermata; Crinoidea; Isocrinida; Isocrinidae
Description: partial 16S ribosomal RNA
Rfam family: Bacterial large subunit ribosomal RNA
Source: RNAcentral